RNAcentral lists this ribosomal RNA (947 nucleotides) under Klebsiella planticola. RNAcentral describes it as "bacterial SSU rRNA". It matches the Rfam family "Bacterial small subunit ribosomal RNA", at positions 55 to 972 of the family's 1533-position model. The record is from RNAcentral. Lineage: Bacteria; Pseudomonadati; Pseudomonadota; Gammaproteobacteria; Enterobacterales; Enterobacteriaceae.
AUGCAGUCGAGCGGUAGCACAGAGAGCUUGCUCUCGGGUGACGAGCGGCGGACGGGUGAGUAAUGUCUGGGAAACUGCCUGAUGGAGGGGGAUAACUACUGGAAACGGUAGCUAAUACCGCAUAACGUCGCAAGACCAAAGUGGGGGACCUUCGGGCCUCAUGCCAUCAGAUGUGCCCAGAUGGGAUUAGCUAGUAGGUGGGGUAAUGGCUCACCUAGGCGACGAUCCCUAGCUGGUCUGAGAGGAUGACCAGCCACACUGGAACUGAGACACGGUCCAGACUCCUACGGGAGGCAGCAGUGGGGAAUAUUGCACAAUGGGCGCAAGCCUGAUGCAGCCAUGCCGCGUGUAUGAAGAAGGCCUUCGGGUUGUAAAGUACUUUCAGCGAGGAGGAAGGCGUUAAGGUUAAUAACCUUAGCGAUUGACGUUACUCGCAGAAGAAGCACCGGCUAACUCCGUGCCAGCAGCCGCGGUAAUACGGAGGGUGCAAGCGUUAAUCGGAAUUACUGGGCGUAAAGCGCACGCAGGCGGUUUGUUAAGUCAGAUGUGAAAUCCCCGGGCUCAACCUGGGAACUGCAUUUGAAACUGGCAAGCUUGAGUCUUUGUAGAGGGGGGUAGAAUUCCAGGUGUAGCGGUGAAAUGCGUAGAGAUCUGGAGGAAUACCGGGUGGCGAAGGCGGCCCCCUGGACAAAGACUGACGCUCAGGUGCGAAAGCGUGGGGGAGCCAAACAGGAUUAGAUACCCCUGGUAGUCCACGCUGUUAAACGAUGUCGACUUGGAGGUUGUUCCCCUUGAGGAGUGGCCUCCCGGAGCUAACGCGGUAAGUCGACCGCCCUGGUGGAGUACGGCCGCAAGGUUAAAACUUAAUAUGAAUUUGACGGGUGCCCCGCCACCAAGCGGGUGGGAUUAUGUGUGCUUUAAUUUCGUAUGCAUACGCGAAGUACCUU